This 27-nucleotide small RNA is filed under the name Bombyx mori (domestic silkworm). RNAcentral's name for it is "ovarian small RNA-25617". The record is from RNAcentral. Lineage: Eukaryota; Metazoa; Arthropoda; Insecta; Lepidoptera; Bombycidae.
UCAGAGUACUGGAUUUGUCUGAAUUGA